Molecule: ribosomal RNA, 468 nt
Filed under: uncultured bacterium
Lineage: Bacteria
Description: bacterial SSU rRNA
Rfam family: Bacterial small subunit ribosomal RNA
Source: RNAcentral
UGCCAGACUCCUACGGGAGGCAGCAGUGGGGAAUAUUGGUCAAUGGGCGCGAGCCUGAACCAGCCAAGUCGCGUGAGGGAAUAAGGCCCUACGGGUCGUAAACCUCUUUUGCCGGGGAGCAAGGGCGGGGACGUGUCCCGGCCCGGAGAGUACCCGGAGAAAAAGCAUCGGCUAACUCCGUGCCAGCAGCCGCGGUAAUACGGAGGAUGCGAGCGUUAUCCGGAUUUAUUGGGUUUAAAGGGUGCGUAGGCGGUCCGUUAAGUCAGCGGUAAAAUGGCGGGGCUCAACCCCGUCGAGCCGUUGAAACUGCGUUUCUUGAGUGGGCGAGAAGUACGCGGAAUGCGUGGUGUAGCGGUGAAAUGCAUAGAUAUCACGCAGAACUCCGAUUGCGAAGGCAGCGUACCGGCGCCCAACUGACGCUCAUGCACGAAAGCGUGGGUAUCGAACAGGAUUAGAUACCCCAGUAAG